Molecule: transfer RNA, 76 nt
Filed under: Ignavibacteria bacterium
Lineage: Bacteria; Pseudomonadati; Ignavibacteriota; Ignavibacteria
Description: tRNA-Ala
Rfam family: tRNA
About the family: Transfer RNA (tRNA) molecules are approximately 80 nucleotides in length. Their secondary structure includes four short double-helical elements and three loops (D, anti-codon, and T loops).
Source: RNAcentral
GGGGCUAUAGCUCAGCUGGGAGAGCGCUUGAAUGGCAUUCAAGAGGUCAGCGGUUCGAUCCCGCUUAGCUCCACUA